RNAcentral lists this ribosomal RNA (241 nucleotides) under uncultured Staphylococcus sp. RNAcentral describes it as "partial 16S ribosomal RNA". It matches the Rfam family "Bacterial small subunit ribosomal RNA", at positions 99 to 334 of the family's 1533-position model. Lineage: Bacteria; Bacillati; Bacillota; Bacilli; Caryophanales; Staphylococcaceae. The record is from RNAcentral.
CGGACGGGCGAGUAACACGUGGAUAACCUACCUAUAAGACUGGGAUAACUUCGGGAAACCGGAGCUAAUACCGGAUAAUAUAUUGAACCGCAUGGUUCAAUAGUGAAAGACGGUUUUGCUGUCACUUAUAGAUGGAUCCGCGUCGCAUUAGCUAGUUGGUAAGGUAACGGCUUACCAAGGCAACGAUGCGUAGCCGACCUGAGAGGGUGAUCGGCCGCACUGGAACUGAGACACGGUCCAG